Molecule: ribosomal RNA, 253 nt
Filed under: uncultured bacterium
Lineage: Bacteria
Description: partial 16S ribosomal RNA
Rfam family: Bacterial small subunit ribosomal RNA
Source: RNAcentral
UACGUAGGGUGCGAGCGUUGUCCGGAAUUAUUGGGCGUAAAGAGCUUGUAGGCGGUUUGUCGCGUCUGCUGUGAAAUCUCAAGGCUCAACCUUGAGCUUGCAGUGGGUACGGGCAGACUAGAGUGUGGUAGGGGAGACUGGAAUUCCUGGUGUAGCGGUGAAAUGCGCAGAUAUCAGGAGGAACACCGAUGGCGAAGGCAGGUCUCUGGGCCACUACUGACGCUGAGAAGCGAAAGUGUGGGGAGCGAACAGG